AUUGAACGCUGGCGGCAUGCCUUACACAUGCAAGUCGAACGGCAGCACGGGUGCUUGCACCUGGUGGCGAGUGGCGAACGGGUGAGUAAUACAUCGGAACGUACCUUAUCGUGGGGGAUAACGCAGCGAAAGCUGUGCUAAUACCGCAUACGCCCUGAGGGGGAAAGCGGGGGAUCGCAAGACCUCGCGCGAUUAGAGCGGCCGAUGCCUGAUUAGCUUGUUGGUGGGGUAAAAGCCCACCAAGGCGACGAUCGGUAGCUGGUCUGAGAGGACAGUCAGCCACGCUGGGACUGAGACACGGCCCAGACUCCUACGGGAGGCAGCAGUGGGGAAUUUUGGACAAUGGGGGCAACCCUGAUCCAGCAAUGCCGCGUGAGUGAAGAAGGCCUUCGGGCUGUAAAGCUCUUUUGUCAGGGAAGAAACACCGGCUCUAACACAGUCCGGGAAUGACGGUACCUGAAGAAUAAGCACCGGCUAACUACGUGCCAGCAGCCGCCGUAA
This 501-nucleotide ribosomal RNA is filed under the name uncultured bacterium. RNAcentral's name for it is "partial 16S ribosomal RNA". It matches the Rfam family "Bacterial small subunit ribosomal RNA", at positions 29 to 523 of the family's 1533-position model. The record is from RNAcentral.